CAUUAAUGAAUAAACUUGGUUAGGUUGUUGCUGGCUCUCAGGGGCAUGUGCACACCGACUCCAUCUUUAACCACCUGUGCACAUUGCGUAGAUCUGAUAUUCUUGAGGAAACUCGGUCUGAGAAUUGCUGUGCAACUUGCCAGCUAUUCUUGGAAUCAGGUCUAUGUUACUAUAUACCCCACAUGAAUGUAAUCGAAUGCUUAAUUGGCCUCUGUGCCUUUAAAACAAAUACAACUUUCAACAACGGAUCUCUUGGCUCUCGCAUCGAUGAAGAACGCAGCGAAAUGCGAUAAGUAAUGUGAAUUGCAGAAUUCAGUGAAUCAUCGAAUCUUUGAACGCACCUUGCGCUCCUUGGUAUUCCGAGGAGCAUGCCUGUUUGAGUGUCAUGAAAUUCUCAACCUUUCUAGCUUUUACAGCUUGUCAGGCUUGGAUUGUGGAAGUUGCUGGUUUAACAAUCAGCUCUUCUYAAAUGUAUUAGCAGAAACCUUUGCUGACCAUCUUUGGUAUGAUAAUUAUCUAUAUCAUUGAUAAUCAGUGUCCUUAGGGGAAAGGCUUCGCUUCUAAUAGUCUUUUAGACAACUUGACAACUUUGACCUCAAAUCAGGUAGGACUACCCGCUGAACUUAAG
RNAcentral lists this ribosomal RNA (628 nucleotides) under Entoloma tenellum. Its description in RNAcentral is "eukaryotic LSU rRNA". The stretch from base 233 to 386 matches the Rfam family "5.8S ribosomal RNA". Lineage: Eukaryota; Fungi; Basidiomycota; Agaricomycetes; Agaricales; Entolomataceae. The record is from RNAcentral.